UCGGGAAAGUUUCCAUUUAUG
This 21-nucleotide non-coding RNA is filed under the name Caenorhabditis elegans. The record is from RNAcentral. Lineage: Eukaryota; Metazoa; Nematoda; Chromadorea; Rhabditida; Rhabditidae.